GUUUUAAUAAUUUAAGAUAAAAUAUUGGUCUUGUAAAUCAAACUUAAGGAUAUACACCUUUUAAAACU
This 68-nucleotide transfer RNA is filed under the name Perisphaerus sp. 3 ZQW-2023b. RNAcentral's name for it is "tRNA-Thr". It matches the Rfam family "tRNA". Rfam says of the family: Transfer RNA (tRNA) molecules are approximately 80 nucleotides in length. Their secondary structure includes four short double-helical elements and three loops (D, anti-codon, and T loops). Lineage: Eukaryota; Metazoa; Arthropoda; Insecta; Blattodea; Blaberidae. The record is from RNAcentral.